Leopardus geoffroyi (Geoffroy's cat) is the source of this 132-nucleotide long non-coding RNA. RefSeq lists it as uncharacterized. The record is from RefSeq and is a predicted model, not a curated record. NCBI's taxonomy places the organism in Eukaryota, Metazoa, Chordata, Mammalia, Carnivora, Felidae. The transcript is spliced from 3 exons.
CUUCAGAUUCUUGGUGGGACCACCUACCAUCGAUCUGGGCUUGCUGAUGGCCACGAGACUAGUGAGGAAGUCUUCGUCGUGCAGCUGGCUGAAAACAUGGGCGUCAUAGGCUACCAUAAUGGAGAUCUCUUC